This 380-nucleotide ribosomal RNA is filed under the name uncultured bacterium. RNAcentral describes it as "bacterial SSU rRNA". It matches the Rfam family "Bacterial small subunit ribosomal RNA", at positions 28 to 406 of the family's 1533-position model. The record is from RNAcentral.
GAUGAACGCUGGCGGCGUGCUUAACACAUGCAAGUCGAACGGGAUCCAUCAGGCUUUGCUUGGUGGUGAGAGUGGCGAACGGGUGAGUAAUGCGUGACCGACCUGCCCCAUACACCGGAAUAGCUCCUGGAAACGGGUGGUAAUGCCGGAUGCUCCAGUUGAUCGCAUGGUCUUCUGGGAAAGCUUUCGCGGUAUGGGAUGGGGUCGCGUCCUAUCAGCUUGACGGCGGGGUAACGGCCCACCGUGGCUUCGACGGGUAGCCGGCCUGAGAGGGCGACCGGCCACAUUGGGACUGAGAUACGGCCCAGACUCCUACGGGAGGCAGCAGUGGGGAAUAUUGCACAAUGGGCGCAAGCCUGAUGCAGCGACGCCGCGUGAGG